RNAcentral lists this ribosomal RNA (280 nucleotides) under Acanthamoeba sp. 1 AM-2013. RNAcentral describes it as "partial 18S ribosomal RNA". It matches the Rfam family "Eukaryotic small subunit ribosomal RNA", at positions 882 to 1077 of the family's 1831-position model. Lineage: Eukaryota; Discosea; Longamoebia; Acanthamoebidae. The record is from RNAcentral.
UUGUGGGACUUAAUAUUUCAAUGUGCAGAGGUGAAAUUCUUGGAUUUAUGAAAGAUUAACUUCUGCGAAAGCAUCUGCCAAGGAUGUUUUCAUUAAUCAAGAACGAAAGUUAGGGGAUCGAAGACGAUCAGAUACCGUCGUAGUCUUAACCAUUAACGAUGCCGACCAGCGAUUAGGAGACGUUGAUUACAAACACCACCAUCGGCGCGGUCGUCCUUGGCGCGUUCGUGUUCACCCGGGCGCGCGAGGGCGGCUUACCCGGUGCCCCGGUGAAUGACUC